CCCCAAAAUCACCCAAAAUCACCCCAAAAAUUCCUGUAAAAAUCCCCCAGAAUUGACCCAAAAUCGCCCAGAAUUGCCCCAGAAAUUCCUGUAAAAAUCCCCCAGAAUUGACCCAAAAUUCCUGCAAAAAUCCCGCUGGAAUUACCCCAAAAUUCCCCUGGAAUUGCCCCAAAAUUCACCCCAAAAUCGGUCCCGGAAUUCCGGAUGUGCGCCGUGAUCCAGGUGGGAUCAGUCAAGGUAUGGAAAGGCUUCGUCCCAGGUGACCCUCAGGUGAUUCCAGGUGUCCCCAGGUGUCCCUCAGGUGUUCCCAGGUGACUCCAGGUGUCCCCAGAUGUGCUCAGGUGUCCCUCAGGUGCCCCUCAGGUGUCCCCAGGUG
Long non-coding RNA from Poecile atricapillus (Black-capped chickadee), 376 nucleotides. RefSeq lists it as uncharacterized. The transcript has 3 exons. The record is from RefSeq and is a predicted model, not a curated record. NCBI's taxonomy places the organism in Eukaryota, Metazoa, Chordata, Aves, Passeriformes, Paridae.